This 259-nucleotide ribosomal RNA is filed under the name uncultured bacterium. RNAcentral describes it as "partial 16S ribosomal RNA". The record is from RNAcentral.
CUGCUGCCUUCCGUAGGAGUUUGGGCCGUGUCUCAGUCCCAAUGUGGCCGUUCACCCUCUCAGGCCGGCUACUGAUCGUUGCCUUGGUAGGCUUUUACCCCACCAACUAGCUAAUCAGACGCGGAACCAUCGUAUACCACCUCAGUUUUUCACACUGCUUCAUGCGAAGCUGUGCGCUUAUGCGGUAUUAGCACCUAUUUCUAAGUGUUAUCCCCCAGUAUACGGCAGGUUUUCCACGCGUUACUCACCCGUCCGCCAA